GCACCCCAUAUUCCAGGGGGGGGCCUAUAGGGCACUUUAUAGGGCACCCCAUAUCCAGGGGGGUUUAUAGGGUGCCCCAUAUGCAGGGGGGGGCUUAUAGGGUGGUUAUGGGGCACCCCCAUCGAUCCAGGGGGGGGUUUAUAGGGCACCCCAAUAUCCAGGGGGCUUUAUAGGACGCGCCCCCAUAUCCAGGGGGCCUAUAGGCGGCACUUAUAGGGCACACCCAUAUCCAGGGGGGCUUAUAGGCGGUGCGUUUUAUUGGGGCACCCCAUUAUCCAGGGCGGGUUAUAGGGUACCCCCAUAGUGCGCAGGGGCGGGCCUAUAGGGCACUUAUAGGGCACCCGCAUAUCCCGAGGGGGGCUUAUGAGGGGUGGGUUUAUGGGCCCCCAUAUCGCAGGGGGGCUUACUGGGGU
RNAcentral lists this long non-coding RNA (413 nucleotides) under Coturnix japonica (Japanese quail). RNAcentral's name for it is "lncRNA (ENSCJPG00005002044.1)". Lineage: Eukaryota; Metazoa; Chordata; Aves; Galliformes; Phasianidae. The record is from RNAcentral.